UACAGAGGAUGCAAGCGUUAAUCGGAAUUACUGGGCGUAAAGGGUGCGUAGGCGGUUGUUUAAGUCUGUCGUGAAAUCCCCGGGCUCAACCUGGGAAUGGCGAUGGAUACUGGACAGCUAGAGUGUGUCAGAGGAUGGUGGAAUUCCCGGUGUAGCGGUGAAAUGCGUAGAGAUCGGGAGGAACAUCAGUGGCGAAGGCGGCCAUCUGGGACAACACUGACGCUGAAGCACGAAAGCGUGGGGAGCAAACAGG
Molecule: ribosomal RNA, 253 nt
Filed under: uncultured bacterium
Lineage: Bacteria
Description: partial 16S ribosomal RNA
Rfam family: Bacterial small subunit ribosomal RNA
Source: RNAcentral